GAAAAAAGAAGAUUCCAUGCAUUCCUUCUAAUGAGAAGAAUUCUUUUUUGGUCUCUAUAGAUUGAGUCCUUAACUAACAACCAAUGUCCUAUUAAUACCAAUACCAAAGACAAAGUACACAAACAUAUACAACCAUUGCAAAUUAGCUUUAAAAAGGAUAAAUUCUUCUAAAGUAUUAGCCAUUGGCACUUCCCUAAACCAAUAUUUCUGCCAACUGUAUUGCAGAGAAUGUCUUUGUUAAUGGAAUCCAUUUAGCUACUAACUCCAAAGAAACUUGUCGCAUGGUUGGCCGAGAUUGUGGAUUGAUAUUCAAGCAUGCAAAUGCAAGUUUUGCAAUGUAAAUUACUUCCUUAGCAACUUUGUUUUCAGGAGGUGGAAGGCGUUGGUCGAUUACAUCCUUCACUAGUGUAUGUUGAUCAAUCGAUAAGAAUGAUGAUGAGGAGGAGAAUGAAGAUGAAGAUGAUGGUAAUGGUGAUGUUGAAAGAAAUGGGAUAAGAUCACUUGGAUGUCUUCCCAUUAGAAUUUCUAACGUUACCAUUCCAAAGCUAUAGAUAUCACACUUUUCAUUCACUUUCAUCGUGUAAGCUAACUCUGGAGCAGUGUAGCCAAAUGUUCCUGCAAAAGGAGAAAAGUUGGAGGAGUUAGGCAUUAAGAGCCUAGCUGUGCCAAAAUCUGAGAUAUGAGCUUCAGAAUCUGAAUCCAAAAGAACAUUGUUGCUAGAAAUGUCUCCAUGAAUAAUUGGAGGAAAGCAAUGGUUGUGCAAAAAGGACAAUGCAUUAGCCAUUCCUUUAAUGACAUUUAGUCUCUUGACCCAAUCCAAUUCCCUUGCUUGUUCUUCAUUACUUAAAAUCAUUCUGAGACUUCCUCUUUCCAUGAAUUCAUAAACCAGAAAUGAAAGUUUAGGAUGCGAACAGAAACCAUAUAACCUCACUAUGUUUCGAUGGCGGAUAUUCAUCAACACAUCAAUCUCAUUUCUAAAUGCUUUCAAGUUAGCUAUCUCCCCACCAUCUUGUGAUUGAUGGAAUUUCUUGACAGCAACCAUCUGACCUGUUGGCAGCACAGCUUUGUAAACAACUCCAUGUCCUCCAGUCCCAAUGCAAUAGUUGGAGUUGAAA
This 1115-nucleotide unclassified non-coding RNA is filed under the name Hevea brasiliensis (rubber tree). Lineage: Eukaryota; Viridiplantae; Streptophyta; Magnoliopsida; Malpighiales; Euphorbiaceae. The record is from RNAcentral.